This 380-nucleotide ribosomal RNA is filed under the name uncultured eukaryote. RNAcentral describes it as "partial 18S ribosomal RNA". It matches the Rfam family "Eukaryotic small subunit ribosomal RNA", at positions 592 to 976 of the family's 1831-position model. The record is from RNAcentral.
CAAUAGCGUAUAUUAAAGUUGUUGCGGUUAAAAAGCUCGUAGUUGGAUUUCUGCCGAGGACGACCGGUCCGCCCUCUGGGUGUGUAUCUGGUUUGGCCUGGGCAUCUUCUUGGAGAACGUAGCUGCACUUGACUGUGUGGUGCGGUGUCCAGGACUUUUACUUUGAGGAAAUUAGAGUGUUUCAAGCAGGCACACGCCUUGAAUACAUUAGCAUGGAAUAAUAAGAUAGGACCUCGGUUCUAUUUUGUUGGUUUCUAGAGCUGAGGUAAUGAUUAAUAGGGAUAGUUGGGGGCAUUCGUAUUUAACUGUCAGAGGUGAAAUUCUUGGAUUUAUGAAAGACGAACUUCUGCGAAAGCAUUUGCCAAGGAUGUUUUCAUUGA